RNAcentral lists this transfer RNA (75 nucleotides) under Ruminococcus callidus. RNAcentral's name for it is "tRNA-Arg". It matches the Rfam family "tRNA". From Rfam's summary of the family: Transfer RNA (tRNA) molecules are approximately 80 nucleotides in length. Their secondary structure includes four short double-helical elements and three loops (D, anti-codon, and T loops). Further hydrogen bonds mediate the characteristic L-shaped molecular structure. tRNAs have two regions of fundamental functional importance: the anti-codon, which is responsible for specific mRNA codon recognition, and the 3' end, to which the tRNAs corresponding amino acid is attached (by aminoacyl-tRNA synthetases). tRNAs cope with the degeneracy of the genetic code in two manners: having more than one tRNA (with a specific anti-codon) for a particular amino acid; and 'wobble' base-pairing, i.e. permitting non-standard base-pairing at the 3rd anti-codon position. Lineage: Bacteria; Bacillati; Bacillota; Clostridia; Eubacteriales; Oscillospiraceae. The record is from RNAcentral. RNAcentral also lists the same sequence under 2 other names.
GCCCCCUUAGUUAAAUGGAUAUAACAAGUCCCUCCUAAGGACUGGUCAUCGGUUCGAUUCCGGUAGGGGGUGCCA